AAACCAAGAAGAUUAAGUCAUGUAUUUUUGGUAAAAAGAUAGUUAGGUAAUGGAAGAGCUUGUUUAAUUUUUAUUAAGAAGUAAAAUUUAUAAAUAAUAUAGAAACUCAAAUAUAGCUAAAAAACUGAAGCUAUGAUACCCUUGGGGGAAACUGGGAUUAGAUACCCCAUUAUUCUUGGAAGUAAAAAAACAGAGUUUACCAGAGUACUAUGGAUUAAUGACAUUUAAAACUCAAAGAGCUUGGCGGUGUUUUAGACUCUUUAGGGGAACCUGUCUCAUAAUCGACAAUCCACGUAAAACCUGACCUUUAUUUGCUUUCAGUUUGUAUACCGUCGUCGUCAGGUAACUUUUUAGAAAAAAUAAGUUAGCAAAAGAGCUAGUAAUAAGCUCUUACGUCAGAUCAAGGUGCAGCCAACAUAAAGGAGAGGAUGGGUUACAAUUAUAAAAAUCAUAAUUACGAAAUAAUAUUGUUAAACAACAGUUAUGAAGGAGGACUUAAAAGUAAAAUAUAGUAUAUAAGUAUAUUGAAUCGAGCUCUGAAACGUGC
This 547-nucleotide ribosomal RNA is filed under the name Semiricinula squamosa. Its description in RNAcentral is "partial 12S ribosomal RNA". Lineage: Eukaryota; Metazoa; Mollusca; Gastropoda; Neogastropoda; Muricidae. The record is from RNAcentral.